Molecule: ribosomal RNA, 400 nt
Filed under: phytoplankton environmental sample
Lineage: Eukaryota
Description: partial small subunit ribosomal RNA
Rfam family: Eukaryotic small subunit ribosomal RNA
Source: RNAcentral
AGCUCCGCCAGUGUAUAUCUAUGCUGCUGCGGUUAAAAAGCUCGUAGUUGGAUCUGCGUGCUUGGUGGUGGUCCGUCCUUUGGGCGUGCACUGCUCACCGGCACUGAGCUGCUAGUUCUUCCAUGUGUGCCCUUCACCGGGUGUCUUGGAUGGCUAGCGAAUUUACUUUGAAAAAAUUAGAGUGCUCAAAACAGGCGUUUCGCUUGAAUACUGGUGCAUGGAAUAAUGGAAUAGGACCUUGGUUCUAUUUUGUUGGUUUUCGGAACACGAGGUAAUGAUUAAGAGGGACAGACGGGGGCAUUCGUAUUGCGACGCUAGAGGUGAAAUUCUUGGAUCGUCGCACGACGGACUACUGCGAAGGCAUUUGCCAAGAAUGUUUUCAUUAAUCAAGAACGAAAGU